Molecule: ribosomal RNA, 253 nt
Filed under: uncultured bacterium
Lineage: Bacteria
Description: partial 16S ribosomal RNA
Rfam family: Bacterial small subunit ribosomal RNA
Source: RNAcentral
UACGGAGGGGGCUAGCGUUGUUCGGAAUUACUGGGCGUAAAGCGCACGUAGGCGGAUCAGUCAGUUAGAGGGGAAAGCCCAGGGCUCAACCCUGGAACUGCCUUUAAUACUGCUGGCCUGGAGUCCGAGAGAGGUGAGUGGAAUUCCGAGUGUAGAGGUGAAAUUCGUAGAUAUUCGGAGGAACACCAGUGGCGAAGGCGGCUCACUGGCUCGGUACUGACGCUGAGGUGCGAAAGCGUGGGGAGCAAACAGG